AGCAGCCGCGGUAAUUCCAGCUCCAAUAGCGUAUAUUAAAGUUGCUGCAGUUAAAAAGCUCGUAGUUGAAUUUCGGGAUCAAUAUGUUGGUCGUGCCUCGGUACGUACUAGCUUAUUGGUUUCUUCCUUCUGACGAACCAUAAUGUCAUUUAUUUGGUGUUAUGGGGAAUCAGGACUGUUACUUUGAAAAAUUAGAGUGUUUAAAGCAGGCUCACGCUUGAAUACAUUAGCAUGGAAUAAUGAAAUAGGACGUUUGAUUCUAUUUUGUUGGUUUCUAGGAUCGACGUAAUGAUUAAUAGGGAUAGUUGGGGGCAUUAGUAUUCAAUUGUCAGAGGUGAAAUUCUUGGAUUUAUUGAAGACUAACUACUGCGAAAGCAUUUGCCAAGGAUGUUUUCAUUAAUCAAGAACGAAAGUUAGGGGAUCGAAGACGAUCAGAUACCGUCGUAGUCUUAACCAUAAACUAUGCCGACUAGGGAUCGGAUGAUGUUAAUUUUUAAUGUACU
This 503-nucleotide ribosomal RNA is filed under the name uncultured Glomus. Its description in RNAcentral is "SSU rRNA". It matches the Rfam family "Eukaryotic small subunit ribosomal RNA", at positions 569 to 1078 of the family's 1831-position model. The record is from RNAcentral. Lineage: Eukaryota; Fungi; Glomeromycota; Glomeromycetes; Glomerales; Glomeraceae.